CAAUAGCAUAUAUUAACGUUGUUGCAGUUGAAAAGCUCGUAGUUGAACUUUUGGUAGGAGCGACCUGGCCUUGGGCGCAUGCCCUUGAUUGCCGCGUGUCGUAUCUGGCCAUCCUUUUCUUCUUUUUGGAAGGAAUCUUUUACUGUGAGUAAACUGGAGUGCUCAAAACAAGACGUUUGUUUGGUACAUUAAAGCAUGGAAUAAUAAGAUAGGACCUGGUUACUAUUUUGUUGGUUUGCAUAGCUAGGUAAUGAUUAACAGGGACAGUUGGGGGUAUUCGUAUUUAAUUGUCAGAGGUGAAAUUCUUGGAUUUAUGAAAGACGAACGACUGCGAAAGCAUUUACCAAGGAUGUUUUCAUUAA
This 362-nucleotide ribosomal RNA is filed under the name uncultured eukaryote. Its description in RNAcentral is "partial 18S ribosomal RNA". It matches the Rfam family "Eukaryotic small subunit ribosomal RNA", at positions 592 to 976 of the family's 1831-position model. The record is from RNAcentral.